RNAcentral lists this ribosomal RNA (468 nucleotides) under uncultured bacterium. RNAcentral describes it as "partial 16S ribosomal RNA". It matches the Rfam family "Bacterial small subunit ribosomal RNA", at positions 28 to 507 of the family's 1533-position model. The record is from RNAcentral.
GACGAACGCUGGCGGCGUGCUUAACACAUGCAAGUCGAACGGAAAGGCCCUGCUUUUGUGGGGUGCUCGAGUGGCGAACGGGUGAGUAACACGUGAGUAACCUGCCCUUGACUUUGGGAUAACUUCAGGAAACUGGGGCUAAUACCGGAUAGGAGCUCCUGCUGCAUGGUGGGGGUUGGAAAGUUUCGGCGGUUGGGGAUGGACUCGCGGCUUAUCAGCUUGUUGGUGGGGUAGUGGCUUACCAAGGCUUUGACGGGUAGCCGGCCUGAGAGGGUUACCGGCCACAUUGGGACUGAGAUACGGCCCAGACUCCUACGGGAGGCAGCAGUGGGGAAUAUUGCACAAUGGGCGGAAGCCUGAUGCAGCAACGCCGCGUGCGGGAUGACGGCCUUCUGGUUGUAAACCGCUUUCGCCUGUGACGAAGCGUGAGUGACGGUAAUGGGUAAAGAAGCACCGGCUAACUACGUG